GAUUAAAAAAUUGUUGUUUACUUUGUUUAGGCUUUUACUGUGUUUUUCUUUGUGGUAUUUAAGGUUUUGAAAAGAUUCAUUGCAGGGUUUAGGUAACUAUUUAUAUUGGUAUAAAGAUGUUUUUUUAUUCUGCUUUGCCUUGUAAGUUCCGUCAGUCGGAUUUGUGAAUAAACUCCAGCAACUAAUGGAACACACAGUAUAGCUUAACUUCUGAGUCCCUGCAAUAAAAUGAGUAUUUGACCCACUGCAUCAUUGUCAUUUAAGGCUGCUGAUUGCAGCAUUUGACAUUAUGGGAGUAAAAUUGCAUAUUAAUUUUAUGGUAGGCAUUUAAAAAUCUGUUAAUGGAUUGAGUGUCACCUAAUAUGUUCACUAACUGCACAAUCAUGGAGAAAUUCAUUGUACAACACUCCCAAAAUGGCGCAUCAAAGAUUUUCCUGAUUAUCAAAUUUAAGUUCUGGUGGUUAGGUCAUCGGAGUGUGUAUUCGAAUUCCGGUCGGGACACUAUAAGUGGGUACCAGCUAGGGUAGAGGUUGAUACUGUGUAUGAAAAGCCCUUAGAGCAUAGGGUUGCCCAGGUUGUAUACCCCCAAGGGAGCUGAGACAGAUUAAAAGAAUGUUAUGGCCAAAUGACCAAUGCAAUAAUGUAAAGCGCAUUGAGACGGUUAUUGUGAAAUGUGCUCUAUAUAAGAACUAGUUAUUACUACAAGUAUUAUUAUGACAUCAUGUGGUUUGGGUCAAUAAGUUGUUUUAAUAUCAUGUGUUGUACUCUUUAUUUAUUUUACUUAUCAAAUAAUAAACCUCAAGGUAAACAGACUGGGCAUUUUUUUCUUUACUCAAUCCCAAUAUUUGUUUUUUUACUUGUAGGAAUCCGUGAGAAGAUGACACUCUGAGAUGUGCGGGAAGAUGUGUGGGGAGGCAGCCCACCAGCAAGGCCUCCCCUGAAAUGGCUGCUGAACUCGAGUACAUAAAGUGCCAUAGAAGCUUUACUGUAGUGAAAUAAUAUUUGCCAUCAUCCUGCCAUACACACAUGGUCUUAAAGAGACAUGACAAGACAAGCACAUAAGAAAACGAGAUGAUGGAAAACCUCUUCAGUUGUUUGUGUUCUGCUCAGAUGUUGCCUAGCGACAAGGGAUGCUCAGUUUGAUAACAUCUUCUCCACAAUGGGAGCAAUUGAAAGAGAACAGGUGAUGAGGAGGGUGCAUGACUCCAGGAAUGCGUCCCCAUUACAAUGUGAGCAUGAGGCGACCACGGACACAUGUUUAUGCCAGACCACAACACUGUACUAAUGAAACUCAAUGCAUGCAUCAAGGACAUUCACCAAAGAGCCACUUCCAGUCAUUUCCAUCCACUUGGUGAUGUGAAACCACUCAACGAAAGCCAGAAAUCUCUGUGCAGUCAUGGAUGAACAUCUACAUGUAUAACUGAAGGACCAUGUCACACCACCCUAUAUGCCCCUCUUCAAUGACUGUCAUCCAAAGAUGUUUUAAAUUUAGAAAAUAAUGAUCCGCACAAAUACACCUGGAAAUUGUUUGGUAUUCCUUGGCCGUCUUGAACUAACAUGAUCUGCCAUUUUGUUGAAGCAGUAGUUUGACUCCCCAAAAUGGCAGACCAUCAUAGUCCACAAAGUAUUUGGAAAACCUCACAGUUUUAAAGUACAUUAGUUUAAUUAUCCACUACUUUUAAAUGCUUUUCUGUCCAACCUGGUUCAUGUCAUAACAAACUCUUUCAUAGCCCAAAACGCCCAAAAGCAAUAUGUGUCGCUAAAAAAUGUUGAUGAAAUAAAUGAAAUCAUUGAUUGUGAUUGCAAUUAUUGAAGCUUGAGACUCGAAAACAACAACAAGGUUUUGACAAGUACAAGUACUGAGUCUAACAGUUUCAUGUUGCCUAAUGUCUAAAGGGACACGUCGCUUUUGGAUUGGGUGUUUUGAGCUUUAGAAAGUGCUUGCUAUGAAACGGAUGACGUUGGAAAUAUGGUUUAAAAUUAGAAAAUAAUUAUCCACAAAAAUGUACCCUCCUGAACUAUAACACAACCUGCCGUUUUUGUUGAAGCAAAUUCAUGACUCCUCAAAAUGGCAGACUAUUUUAGUUCACAGUAAGUAUUAUGGAAUUUUUGAAAACCACACAGUUUUGAGGCACCUUAGUGUUGAUAAUUACACACAAAUCUAAAAGCAAUGUGUCUCUUGAAGAAGAUUUUGAGGACCAUGUGAUUGAAAUUGUUGAAAUUUGACAUGUGAUGAAUUUUCAACAAGGUUUGAUAAAGUAUCGAGUCAGACUUUUUAUUGUUGAAUUAUCCCACAUGCCUAAAGGGGACAUGUCGUUUUUGAGGUGGGUGUUACUGGUUUGGGCUUUAGAAAGUGCUUGCUGUGAAAUGUAUGUGGUUGAAAAUAUGUUUUAAAAUAAAAAAAUAAUGAUCCACACAGAUAAACAUGUACCUGGAAAUUGUUUGGUUCUCUUGAAGUAUCACAGUCUGUCAUUUUGUUGAAGCAAGUUAUGGACUCCUAAAAAUGGCGGACUAUUUUAGUUCACAAAGUAAAUGGAAUUUUUGACUUCACAAAACACAAAGUAUAAGGAAAACCACACAGUUUUGAGGCACCUUUUAGUGUCGAUAAAUAUACACUACUUCCAAAACAUGUUUCCAACCUGGGCCCUAUUUUAUAAAGCUGUUAGGCAGAAAACACUUCAUGACAAAUUUAUUUGCUAUGUUAUUUUGGGUGGAAACCUGAUUCUGUUAAGUUAUGCUUUUCUGUGCCGAGCCAGUUGUUUUGCUUUUAGGCUUUAUUAAAUUGGUCCUAGAUUCAUAUCAUACAUGUGGGCAAUUCCACACUUAAUGGACCAAAGGGAUAACUUUGUAAGACAGGCAUCUUUUUUUGUUAACCACAAUCCUCAUGUGCUUCUGAAUGUACACAGACAAAAAUACAUUACUUAAUUUUGUUACAACUAUCCAAACUUUCCCUUUCCAUUUGUGCCCAUUAGUGUGGAUAUUGCCCAUGUACUGUAACAAAUGCUUUCAUAGUCCAAAGCGUCAAAUCUAAAAGUAAUGUUUCUCUUGGAGAAGGUUUUGAUGACAAUGUGAUCGAAAUUGUUGAAAUUUGAGAUGUGAUGAAUUUUCAAUAAGGUUUGAUAAAGUAUCGAGUCAGACUUUUUAUUGUUGAAUUAUCCCACAUGCCUAAAGGGGACAUGUCGUUUUUGAGGUGGGUGUUACUGGUUUGGGCUUUAGAAAGUGCUUGCUGUGAAAU
Molecule: long non-coding RNA, 3235 nt
Organism: Asterias rubens (European starfish)
Lineage: Eukaryota; Metazoa; Echinodermata; Asteroidea; Forcipulatida; Asteriidae
Exons: 3
Source: RefSeq, a predicted model, not a curated record